UCCUCUUUAGCUCAGUUGGUAGAGCGCGUCACUAGUAAUGACGAGGUCAGUCGUUCGAGUCGGCUAAGAGGAA
This 73-nucleotide transfer RNA is filed under the name Phanerochaete sordida. RNAcentral describes it as "tRNA-Thr". It matches the Rfam family "tRNA". From Rfam's summary of the family: Transfer RNA (tRNA) molecules are approximately 80 nucleotides in length. Their secondary structure includes four short double-helical elements and three loops (D, anti-codon, and T loops). Lineage: Eukaryota; Fungi; Basidiomycota; Agaricomycetes; Polyporales; Phanerochaetaceae. The record is from RNAcentral.